UAUGAACGCUAGCGAUAGGCUUAACACAUGCAAGUCGAGGGGCAGCAUGGUCUUAGCUUGCUAAGGCUGAUGGCGACCGGCGCACGGGUGCGUAACGCGUAUGCAACUUGCCUCACAGAGGGGGAUAACCCGUCGAAAGACGGACUAAUACCGCGUACACUCUAUGUUGGGCAUCCAAUGUAGAGGAAAUGAAAUUCGCUGUGAGAUAGGCAUGCGUCCCAUUAGCUAGUUGGUGAGGUAACGGCUCACCAAGGCGACGAUGGGUAGGGGAACUGAGAGGUUGAACCCCCACACUGGUACUGAGACACGGACCAGACUCCUACGGGAGGCAGCAGUGAGGAAUAUUGGUCAAUGGGCGAGAGCCUGAACCAGCCAAGUCGCGUGAAGGAUGACUGUCUUAUGGAUUGUAAACUUCUUUUAUACGGGAAUAACAAGAGUCACGUGUGGCUCCCUGCAUGUACCGUAUGAAUAAGCAUCGGCUAACUCCGUG
This 490-nucleotide ribosomal RNA is filed under the name uncultured bacterium. RNAcentral's name for it is "partial 16S ribosomal RNA". It matches the Rfam family "Bacterial small subunit ribosomal RNA", at positions 29 to 507 of the family's 1533-position model. The record is from RNAcentral.